CCAAAGGACCUGUAUCAACGCAGAUCAGCCAAAGGGUCUAUGAUGCUGGAUCUGAUGUGCUUCAGACUGAAGACAGAACUAGUAACAACAGAGUCCCUCCUGAUGAAGAUCUAAACUGCUGUUUACAAACUGAAGGCAGCCAAGUGCUAGGAGACGUCCCUCAGGAGCGUGUCAGGAACUCCAAAUGGGUUUUUCUUACCUUGGGGAGAGUGAUACAGCACAGAGGAAGGGCACUCAACAUGAGCUAAGGGAGGACUCACCAAGGCAUCCCACAGGGUGGAGCUCCUCAGUACAGCUCAGGAGCAUGGCAAAGUUGAGUAAAAUCAUGCCAUUGCAUCAGCGACUUUCUGUGGUAUACCUGUCUCAUGAGUUCAGUGCAACUUGCUGCAGGUUUUCUCCAAAUUUCUGUCAACUGUUUCCAAAGAAGUGUUCCCUGUCCCUUUGCCAAGGAGUAUCAAGUAUUCACUGAUAUUUAUGUGUUUCUUUCUCCUCCUCCAUGUGCUAAUGAAACCCUAUUGUGACCUAGGAAUGAUGUGUGGGCAGGAGCUCCUCUCCUGCCUGCUGAAGCACGUGCCAUACAAGUGGGUGAUUCAAAACUUUUCAGAAACUAUAUCCUCAGUCAUUUGUUCCCUCUCUGCACUCAAAAAGGCCAACCAUGCUGCAGGUAACAGGAUGCACUCACCAGAGCACAACAGCUCCACUGUUUCUGUGUUAGCUCCCACUGGGCUCUGCUUUGGGGUAUUUGGCCUUCAAACCCCUGGCACCACAUGGCAGCACCUUUGCCAGCAGAGCUGUGACACUGCAGACUUAGUGAUGCAGCAAAGGGACAGAAGCAGAUGAGGUGUCCACGCACUCUGAGGAAACAGUUGUUUAAUAAAUUAACAGGCAAAUUAAAACAAUUAAGCCACAUUUCCUAUUAGCUGCUCACAGUAAUGAAGUUUGACGCUAACGAAAUCAGGCGCUCGAUUUUUUAAUCUUUUGUUUUUACAUCUCUGUUCCAGAGGAAAAGCUGUGGGAAGGCACGAAGAGUGACACAGGUCAAACUAAGUUCAGGCUCAGCUCAGCGUCAUUGUGCUGACUGCCUCCUUCCUUCCUUUCCUUCCUUUCCUUCCUUUCCUUCCUUUCCUUCCUUCCUUCCUCCCUCCCUCUCUCCCUCCUUCCCUCCCUUCUCUCCCUUCCCUCCCUUCCCUCCCACCCUUCCUCCCUCCCUCCUUUCCCUCCCUUCCAGGGAGGUGGUCAGUGGUGGCUUUGUGCCACUGCAGAUUAUUACAGAUGCUGAACAGAUGCAAGAUGUGGUUUAUCUCUUGCACCUUCAUUCACAGUGCUCCUGUGAGAGGGGUGGGGUGAAUAUGGAUAAAUGAUUUCAAAGGUGGUCAAGAGCUUGGCAGUAAAUAGAGCACCGGAUCCAGUGGUACUCCUGAAAGCCAGCACAGAGGCAUGUAUGGCAUCUGCAUGCCAUGGUCUUGGCCAGUGGCCAUGCUCCCCUCAGCAUGAUCUGUUUCAUGGCAGCCUGGAGGAAGGGGGAUGUCCUUGCACCUAUUCUGUGUGCCCUGUCCUGGGAGGGAUAAUCAAAAGCUGAAGCUGGUGCAAAUCCUGCGGGGGGCCCAAGUGAAGCUGGAGUAAUGCUGUGGGGAUGGUCAGCAGGCCUCACUGCAUCCCCUUGGGUUACCUGGGUGCAGGUGUUGCAGCCUGCAGGCGUUUUUGUCUCCACUCAGUUUUUGACCGACCAAGAGCAUCUUCAGGCUCAUUUUCCAAGGGAAGCAUCACACAUCCUGAUGCACAAAACCUCCAAGGGCUGGACUGGAAGUGCAGCCGAGGUGGCGUAAGUACAUGGCAGAUGGGCACCAGCAGAGGUUGGAGUCAAGGGGAUUUUUCAUCAUGCCUUUUUUUAAUCUCCUCUUAAGGAGACCCACUCAAGGAAAGCUGUAAUUAUUUUAAUCUCUUUUUUCCCCUUCCCACUCUGCAAAUGCACUUGGCUUUGUAAGGCCUCAGAGGCAAUUUUAUGGAGGGAAAACAUGCCAAUUUUUUUUUUUUUUCCUUAAUUUUAAUUAUUUCAGAUAGAUACAUUUCUAAUGUCGUACUAGCCAAGGAACAGAGGGGUUUUAUUUAUUAUUAUAACUAUUUGUUGUAUUUUUACUCACUAAAGAAUGAAUUAACCAUUCCCAAGAGCCACCAUGGACCAUUGUGGAUCAGUGAGACAUGGCACACAGCCACCUUGUUCCUUUCCUGCCCUCAGUCCCUCUGCAGCUGCUCUGGACUUGCUUUUAGCACUUGAUUGGGUGCGAAGUUGCCAUUCAGAUGGUAUCUACGGUCAGGCACUGCCUGCUAGCACAGGGGAUUGGCAAGCAUCUGCUUUGUAAGCGCUUGUAGGUUGUGGGCGUUAAGAAUAUCUUUGUUUUGAUUAAGAAUAGAAAGCAUUUGUGAACACUGAGAUUCUCUGCAUCUUUGUGUAUGUGUUGUUUGUUGGACUUGCAGUAAAACAAGGGUUCUGAAACCCUAUCCUUUGACUUCUCUAGGAACAUUCUGAAUCCCUUUCCUCUCCUAGAGAUGAGAAAGGGGAGACAACCAGAGCUGACUUGAGGGUGUAGUAAUAGAAUACACCUGUGUUGCACAGCUCUUUGCCCAUUUGGGAUUGUAGGCAGAGCUCCUUGGCCAGCUGCAAAGUAGGGCAUGGGGGCGGGAUCUGAGGAGCAGCUAUGGGAUAAACCUGGUUGUCUGCAUCUAUGCUGGCUGGCAUGGCAGAGGGGAGCUUGUAAGAGCCCAGAGAGAAAGUGGGUGUGGAUGUGGUAACCUCUGCCAUCAGCUUCAGGAGCAUAGUGCUGUGUAGCAUCAUCCUUCUGAAGGUCUAUAGUGAUCCCAUUGCAGGUACAGGCUGUAUGUUCUCCUGUCCUGUCUCUUGCUUGUUAGCAGCUCUCAUUCUGCAUUCUCACAAAAGCACUCAUCAAACAUUUACUGCAUCCAGUUUACCAGAGAGAACCGUUUUCAGGGUGUGACCUCCAGCUUUAGAAUAUGAUGAAGUCAGUACACAAGCACUCUUUCCUGCUGUGUUGAUGCUGUAUCAACAAUAGCAGUCAUAAGUGCAGCCAGAAACUGUUGCCAUACUUGAAACAUCUAAUAAACAGGACCUAAACCUGCUAACAUUUAAUUAAAGCCUGGCUGAAGGAGCCCAGCUCAUAGACUGCUAUGCAGCAGGUAGCCCCUACAAAGACCAGGUUACAUCUUUGUCACUCAGGGAGGGUAAUAUAUUGUGUUGUGCAGGAAAACAUGGCCCUGAAACAAACCCUUCUCCAGUCUGUCUAUUUCAGACUCUUUUGCUGUUUGUUUACAUCAACCUUUGUUUUUUCCAUCCAUUCCUGUCACUUAUUUUGUAUAUCCAGAGGCAUGUGGGCACCCUCUUUUUUGCCACAACACUGUGCUGCCUCCCAAGGUUCACAUCUAUGUUGUACUUCUCAGCCAGUGGGUUUAUUUCUGUUCUUUCAUCUUUUUUCGUAUAUAUAUAUUUUUUCGUGUUGUCUUAUAAAAUGCUUGCUACAUGUAAGGUAUGAUCUGAGAAAAGGUGCUUCUUGCAGUUGUUGUGGUGAGACUCACAAUUUCCCAGGUGAGCUGUGGUUGGUGGACCUCCUGGCCUGAUAAGCUUUUAUCCCCCUAAGGCUGGUGGCCUGGGGUGCCCCAGGAGCCCGCUGCAGUUCUGAGGCCGUGUAGCUUCUUGACCCCUGUAGCUGUGAGUAGAGGCUUCACUUUGAAAACCAGCUAAAAGUUGGUCUGUAGUGAUUGUGGAUGUGCUAUGAUCCUUCACCAGUGCUUUCUACUGCACUCGUGCCCUCAUGAUUGGGAGGCAGCUCAGCCCUAUCCCCUAGUGUUGGGACCUUCCCUUUAGUGCAUGCGGUGGGGUCACCCCAAACAGCUGUUCAUAUCUCCCCUCUUCAGCACUAAAAUUGAGGCUGAAUUUACUUCCUUGUGCUUUGGCUGCUCUUGAUCCCGGUCUCCAGCAAUGGUAUCCAGUAAACCUGUCCCAUGGAAAGCCCUCGUUAUUCUAGCUAUGGGGCUGCAACUCCCUGCAGGUCUUUGCUUUCCAAGGUCUUGCAUGAAUAUGUUGCAUUUCAUAGCUGUCAUUGGUGCCUCCCGCUCAUGCCUAACCUGGCCAUUAGAAGGGUGUCUCUGGAUGGUUUUGCUUAAUGACUGUGAAUGGCUGUCCAAAAUGUAGGGCUGAUCCUUGUCUUGUAUUAAGGUGCUGGAGAUUCAUUGGGAGUGAAAAGUCUGCAGUUCUCCUUUCACUGCGUAGAGGGGUUGGAGGGGAUAUGGUGCCAGAUUAAGGUCUUGGCAAGGGAUGGGGCUGCAGCAGGGAGCAGUUCUUGGUGAUGAGCAGAUGGCCUGCAUUGCUGCAGGACAGUCUGGCUGGAGGGAUUUAACGCCUCAACUAUUUCUCUUGCAUGGCUGCAGGUGAUGUGCAGAGCUCCAGCAUUGGGAGCUGUGGGGCUGUCUUCCUCUGGGCUAUGAGGAGGAAUAAAGCCAAGGCUUCAGGGCCAAGCAGUAGAAUAACUUGCUGCAAAGGUGAUUUUGUGUAGGUGCACAAGCUACCCAGAGAAUAUGAGAACACUGGAGCCUCUAGUGCCUGGGGGAUGAGUUCCAAUUUCAGCUGCACAAGCCAGCUGUGUAUGCUGAUGUUAGUGUUUUUUGAGGAGGCUGCUGAAGAGCAGCAGCUGUGCCUUGCUUCCUCACAGAUGUAUGGCAAAGAUUUGAGUUACACUGUGGGCCCUGAAACAACCAGAGCAGUCUUGUGCACUAGUUUUGCAGAAGCAUCAGAAUAACCAAAGGAUUGGUGUACUCAGGAAGCAGACUGGCCAGCAUGCAAGAGAGACAUCAGUCUUGAAUUGUUAGAAUAAGUUGCUGGAGUUAUAUUUCCAAGUAGAUCACCUUAGGCACAAACUCAUCCUGGGCAGUCUUGUUGCUUAAGCAAGAUGUUAGCCCAGUGCUAAAGUUUGAUGGUUUCAGCUGCUAACAAUUUGCCUGCUGUAGGGCGUUUCUUUGCAUCCCUUCCAAGCUCUGCAGUGAAACCUAAAAGAGAACAGAUCUGUAUCUGAUGGUCUGGGACCUUCUGCCAGGGCUGCUGAUAGUGCAAGAGGGACCUGGUGGAAUCUGGGGUCCUCCCUCCUGCAAGAAUAACACAGAUAGGGCUGUGACAUAAGGGGUGUAGCAGGAGCAAAGAAUUCCUAAUAGGUUGUUCUGAAAUACUUGGUUAUGUAAGAAUCAGGAUUUUGCUGGUAGCAUCUUAUCAGCUUGAAGAAACAGGGUAUAGCUUACAGCUUGUGACGGUGCUGUGGAAGUGAGAAGACUGAGCCUGACUGAGCAGCAAUAAGGCUUUCAACAGCUGCCACAGAUCAGACUCUCCAAAAUGUUAAAGCUUUGAAAUAAUAAAUAGUUCACUAAUGCGAGUAGAGCAUCAUUCCAGGAAUUAAAAGAUAAACUGUGAAGUGGUGGUGAUGCAGACAGCAAAUAUGUAGUGCUGUAUGUUUUUAUGAUUAUGCUACAGUUCCUCUUGCUCUAAUUUGUAAUGCUUUGUAUUGCUAAAUGCUAAUAGUAAUAACUUGACAGAUGAGAACUUACAAAAUACCUGUACAAAACUUUUCUUUGUUCCCAAAUAAUUAACUGUCGAGUUUUCUGAAAAAACUCCCUUUCUUCCCCAGAGCACGGGUACUGCAGAUGUCCUGCCCAUGAGACAGGCUGGAUUUGAGCUGGCUAGGGGGAACUGAGCAUCUUUGGACCAGGAGCAACAGGCCCGCUACAGAGAGGGCCUACAUUCAGCAGAUCUAGGAAACCAGGCAUCUUGGCAUCUCCUUCUACACUGCAACUUUCCUCAGAUCAGAGCAAACUAAAGCAAUAAAAAAGUGCAAUCUUCAUCAACUAUGUCCAAUAAGGCACUGUUGGUAUUUUUCUCUCUGAGGUUAACCGGCUGCUACUAAGACAAAAUAUGAAGGGUCAACCCAACAACUACUUCCCCUUCAGGCUGAGAAGUCCCCAUUCUUACCUCACUUUGUUGCCUUCCCAAAGUCCCCUGAUGGAUCCAUUUUUUCCAAACUACAGCUAUCAUGCCAACACAACAUUCAGUUGACAAUGACAAGGCUCAGCUAUCAUGGCAACACGAUAUUCAAUCUACAAUGCAGUUGCAUAUCCAGCCUGAAGGGUGCCUUUGUAACGACCAAGGCUCUUGCUGUAUGAUUGGCAAAGUCGGGAGGAAAGAAAUACAUGAGCGAUGUGGGCUUGUCUUCAGAACAAGAUUUAUUAAGAUUUUGCUUUAACAAACAAAUGUGUGAAGGCAUCAAUUCCUUAAGUUUUCUGUCGUAUGGCAUGGACAAAAGGAAAAACAACAGACUGGGAAGCGAAUUCGGCACAUACACAACAGAGUAACAAAAGAGGCAUGGAUUAGCCUAUAUAGCUGUUAUAUCAUCUAUUAGAAGACAUUCUGCAAGCAACAGUCUACAUUUCUUUGCAUUUAAGUAAGUAAAAACAUAUUUUUGAUCAAGAAAAUUACUUUUUUUUCUUAAAACUUUUUCCUUUAUAUCACAAAUGUCAGGGUAAGGCAAAUCCCAGAUGAAUUGUAUGAUAAAAAUCCCUGUUCCCCGAGAAAAUAGAUCCGACAUACUCUGCUAAGUUUGUCGGUUUGAAAGCAAAGCAGGCAUGCACUGCAUAUAGAGAAAUGUCUUUUUUUUUUUUCCUUUUUUCUUUUUGAUCAAGUGCAUAAAGCAGAACAGUGUUAAUUCACAAAGAGGCUUUUUUUCAGUGCUUCAUAGAAAGAUUUGCAAUUAGCUGUGGUGAAUGUGUGACCCAGUGUUACAGAUGACGUCUCAGACAUCUUCUUUGGAGGUCGGCGUGGAAGGAAACCCGUCCAUCAUUAGAGCAGUCACUGGCUGGAGGAUUAGUGAGUCUCACAGCAGAGACCUGCACUUUCAGAAAUAGGAACUGCAACAUUAAAGCAGAGUCUGAUACCUUGCAUGCAGACACCAACAGGUAGGAGCUUCCUCUCUGUGCCAGGUAUCAGCUCCCACAUUGCUGUGUUUCCUGUCAUGUUGGUGGAGACUGUGUGGAGGAGCAUGGGCCCAGCUGCAACCAGCAAACCCAACUGAGGAACUCACACCACCCAACUCUGCCCACUCUGUGACUACUGAAAAAUGAAAGAAGCCGUAAGGAAAUGAAAAUCCACUGGAAGAAAGAUAGAGGCCUCUCUGAAGAUUGUCCUACAAGCAUUUAAGCAACUUACACGUUUAUUUAUUCAACACUUCCUACACUUCUAGACUUCACACUUGCUGCUGUGUCUUCAGGAAAACCUUUCCCAGCAUCAGAGGCUUGCUGCCAUUCAAAGACCAAGGUUGAAUAAAAAGUGCAAUGGAAUUACUGUCAGAGCUUAUAAAUAUUGUGUCUAACAUGAGGCAUUUUUGCAGCAAAUUACUGUUAUUUACAUCAGUUCGUCUUUGCAAGGACUUAGAUGAGCCUUUGUCUCCAAGCAGUUGUGCUUCUGUGGCCAGCCUCCUUGCUAAAACCAAGGCUAGCAAAUGCUUGAGGGGCAUGUGACAGCUCUGUUGAGGCCAGUUUACCCCAGCUGAGGACGUGGCCAAUCUAGGUUGUCCUCAAUGUUUUUGAGUAAUUCAAAGAAGAGCUUUCCCAAUCUAUCCUAUGCCGUAUGGAGGCAGUUCCCUCGCAUUCCUAAAGAAAUGGAUCCCUUUGAUUUUUGUCUUUUCACAGAGGCAGCACUAACCAGGGAACUGUGGUGAGAGAUACCCGAUGCAUUUAUUCCUCUUCCUCCCACUCUUCCACCUUCUGUUAUGACAGUCUGUUUAAAUCAAAAUCAGCAAGUACAGAAGACACAUAGAAAGGGAUUUGCAUUGCAGAGAUGCACCAUUUGCAAAGCCACUGUCUAUAAGACUGGAAUCUGCUGGAAAAGAGGUGAAGGAACAUCAGGAAAAUAUCCAUGUCCCAAAAGAUGCAUUUAUUUUUUGCAUCUGGCAAACUAACAGGGAUGAGAAGGAGAAACAGAACAGUGGCUUCAAAGGGAAUAAAAUUCAAAAUGUAGAGCUAGAGGGUAAUUAUCUCUCUAGGAAAACUAGCAAGAGUAUAAAACAGAUUAAAAGGCUUAUACUGUUUCUUCUAAAGAUGAUCCAACUCCAAGUAUCCCCCAGUCUCCAGGAGAACUGUACGAUGAAGAAUCUCCUUGAGAUCUUCUCUGGCAUGACCUCCAUAUAGUGCAAAGUGCCACAAAAGCUGGCACGCAGAAAUAUUCACCCACCAAAGACAGCACAAAAAGCAAAUGGGCGGGAGCUCUAUGCAAGGUGAAAGGAGGCAGUGUUCCUAGGGGCCAUUAGUGCUCUCAUGGGGAAAUCUGGAGUUUUUGUUGUUUUCUUUUCUUAUCAUUGCUUAUCUUGGUGCUCUUCCAAACCAACCUGCAGCAGACAGCAGCCAUCAAAUGCCAUAGCUGAUGCUGUAUUCCAUAGGGGCACAGUUUACUUGCUAUUAUGCUGGUGGAGAAUUAAUUGCCAAAGCUCCUAUACCUGGGAUAAAUGUAGAGCAAAGGAGGAUGGAUAUCCUUCCACAUCUUAGAAAAUAUCUUGCCUUGUUUUUUUAGUAAUAAAUAAUUGAUUUGGGAUUGGUGCCUAUUCAGGAAGGGGAAAGAGAGACUACCACAACUACUUUGUUUAAAAGGAUCCAAUUAUUAUCAAUGGCAUUUUGAAAUAUGGUUUGUAGCCUGGGGACAGGUUGUGUGCUCUUCCAUCGUGCAUAUCUUCUACUGGUUUCAUUUACUGCGUACGUAAAAUCCUUUUGUUCCUCUUCGAAACAUUUCUGUGUGGCAUUUGCUGGCAGACCAGUUGACAUAUGGUGAGACAUUCUUAUCCAAAUAGCUGUUAAUUGCUUUUUUUU
Coturnix japonica (Japanese quail) is the source of this 8907-nucleotide long non-coding RNA. RefSeq lists it as uncharacterized. Lineage: Eukaryota; Metazoa; Chordata; Aves; Galliformes; Phasianidae. The record is from RefSeq and is a predicted model, not a curated record.